CGCGGUGAAUACGUUCCCGGGCCUUGUACACACCGCCCGUCAAGCCAUGAAAGUUUGGGGUACCUGAAGUACGUAACCGCAAGGAGCGUCCUAGGGUAAAACAGAUAAUUAGGGCU
RNAcentral lists this ribosomal RNA (116 nucleotides) under uncultured bacterium. RNAcentral's name for it is "partial 16S ribosomal RNA". It matches the Rfam family "Bacterial small subunit ribosomal RNA", at positions 1358 to 1482 of the family's 1533-position model. The record is from RNAcentral.